UGCAUAUUGAUGUCUUAAAAAUAAAAAAGCACAAUUUAAAAAUAUGUUGUUGAAAAUAAAAUAAACACAUAUAAGUCAAUACAGGCUUGCAUGGCUGUCGGAAGCCCGUGUUGUGAAACGUCUUGCUUAACUGCUUUCAACGGGCGUGAACCUCUAAGCUAAAUUGCCGUAAUGUAAAAAUCUAUGAGAAUAUUAGAUCAUACAAUGGGAUAAAAAUAGUUUACUAUUGUUAAAACAACAAAGGAAGAAGGAGUAAGUCAAGUUUUAUGAGCUUAAUAUGUUGGGCUACACACGUGCUACAAUGGCAAAUACAGUGAAUUACAAAUAUGUGAAUAAGAGUCAAUUUUUAAAUUUAGCCCAAGUUCGAAUUAUUUCCUGAAACUUGGAAGUAUGAAGGCGGAAUUGCUAGUAAUCGCGGAUAAGAAUGCUGCGGUGAAUAGCUAACCGGUCUUUGUACACACCGCCCGUCACGCCAAGGAAGUUGGGCGCGUCCCAAGUAACAGAUGUUGCAGAGCGUUUAGACG
Molecule: ribosomal RNA, 524 nt
Filed under: uncultured bacterium
Lineage: Bacteria
Description: partial 16S ribosomal RNA
Rfam family: Bacterial small subunit ribosomal RNA
Source: RNAcentral